UACGAAGGGGGCUAGCGUUGCUCGGAAUCACUGGGCGUAAAGCGCACGUAGGCGGCUUUCUAAGUCAGGGGUGAAAUCCUGGAGCUCAACUCCAGAACUGCCUUUGAUACUGGAGAGCUUGAGUCCGGGAGAGGUGAGUGGAACUCCGAGUGUAGAGGUGAAAUUCGUAGAUAUUCGGAAGAACACCAGUGGCGAAGGCGGCUCACUGGCCCGGUACUGACGCUGGGGUGCGAAAGCGUGGGGAGCAAACAGG
Molecule: ribosomal RNA, 253 nt
Filed under: uncultured bacterium
Lineage: Bacteria
Description: partial 16S ribosomal RNA
Rfam family: Bacterial small subunit ribosomal RNA
Source: RNAcentral